CACCGUGAGGUGAUGGCGAGAAGAAGCAAUAGCAAAAUCGUAGCCUGACGUACAGAAACCUAAUAUCAAGGCUUACAUAAAGGAUGAGUGGGCUUAUAGUCACAAAGUCCAAAAGUCAAAGUGACUUAAUCAAACUGAGUAUA
RNAcentral lists this non-coding RNA (143 nucleotides) under Peptostreptococcus stomatis. Lineage: Bacteria; Bacillati; Bacillota; Clostridia; Peptostreptococcales; Peptostreptococcaceae. The record is from RNAcentral.